AUGCGCAGCGCUGCUGGCCCGCUCUCUGAGGAGCUUUCAAUACUUUGGGGUCAAGUUUGAGGCAGUUGUAACUGUACUGAGUUUAGUUUUGCUAAUAAUGGUAUUCUACGUGUGUCAGCCUCGUGUGGACUUCUGUAAUGACUAAUGGAUAUGUUUAUAUCCUGAGCAUUUGCUGUAGGAAUUUUAAAUGCAAUCCCAAAACUCAAGAUUACCUUAUUUGGAGAAAUAUUCGUGUUACUAUGUUUAAAAUUUAAUAGAACCAUAUUUUACCUUUCACUUUGGGACUCGCACAGGAUGUUUGCAGCUCUUGAUAUACAGGAACUAGAACGUGUCUUUUAAGAGCAUGCGGUUUUAUAAUUACGUGGAAGUAUGCUACGCAAGGGAAAAAAGCCUCUUGCUGUAACUGAGGAUCCUUGAAGAA
RNAcentral lists this long non-coding RNA (421 nucleotides) under Homo sapiens (human). RNAcentral's name for it is "HSALNT0298292". The record is from RNAcentral. Lineage: Eukaryota; Metazoa; Chordata; Mammalia; Primates; Hominidae.